GACGAACGCUGGCGGCGUGCUUAACACAUGCAAGUCGAACGGAAAGGCCCUGCUUUUGUGGGGUGCUCGAGUGGCGAACGGGUGAGUAACACGUGAGUAACCUGCCCUUGACUUUGGGAUAACUUCAGGAAACUGUGGCUAAUACCGUAUAGGAGCUCCUGCUGCCUGGUGGGGGUUGGAACGUUUCGGCGGUUGGGGAUGGACUCGCGGCUUAUCAGCUUGUUGGUGGGGUAGUGGCUUACCAAGGCUUUGACGGGUAGCCGGCCUGAGAGGGUGACCGGCCACAUUGGGACUGAGAUACGGCCCAGACUCCUACGGGAGGCAGCAGUGGGGAAUAUUGCACAAUGGGCGGAAGCCUGAUGCAGCAACGCCGCGUGCGGGAUGACGGCCUUCGGGUUGUAAACCGCUUUCGCCUGUGACGAAGCGUGAGUGACGGUAAUGGGUAAAGAAGCACCGGCUAACUACGUG
RNAcentral lists this ribosomal RNA (468 nucleotides) under uncultured bacterium. RNAcentral describes it as "partial 16S ribosomal RNA". It matches the Rfam family "Bacterial small subunit ribosomal RNA", at positions 28 to 507 of the family's 1533-position model. The record is from RNAcentral.